UGGCGGCGUAGCUCAGCUGGCGAGAGCGUACGGUUCAUACCCGUAAGGUCGUGGGUUCGAUCCCCUCCGCCGCUAUC
RNAcentral lists this transfer RNA (77 nucleotides) under Cerasibacillus quisquiliarum. Its description in RNAcentral is "tRNA-Met". It matches the Rfam family "tRNA". From Rfam's summary of the family: Transfer RNA (tRNA) molecules are approximately 80 nucleotides in length. The record is from RNAcentral. Lineage: Bacteria; Bacillati; Bacillota; Bacilli; Caryophanales; Bacillaceae.